UUAGUUCUCUUCUUUCUCUGGAGUAGUGUGGACAGUGUAUGAGUACGUGUUCGGUGUUUUCUUUUUCUGUGCAUCCAUUUGGACAUUCCGGCUGGACGUUCAUGUCCCAUUUACUGAUGGUGGCAUUUAGUUUAUUGUGGCCACUUCGCAGUCUCAUCAGUGCGGAUUUCUGCCAUGUUGGGUGAGUGCGUCAUCGUCGCCCCGUCGUCUGCACUUCUUCUGAUGUUUGCUAGCUGGUCUGCGAUUUCAUUUCUUCUUAUUCCAGAAUGACUUGGUAUGGAUGUGCUUGUUUCCCAUUUGAAGUUGGAGAUUGCCUGGAUAGCUGACUUGGAGUCUGUGAAUAUGGUGAUUUCGUUCCAGAUUUGAUUGUAUAUAUACAGCACAGGUGGUCUUCAGUGUCUUCAGACAAGUUGAUCCGUCAGUGAAGAUGGCUAUGUGGUCUUUAUGUUCACUGUUCCUAAUCUCAAGU
RNAcentral lists this long non-coding RNA (469 nucleotides) under Daphnia magna. RNAcentral's name for it is "uncharacterized LOC123466660, transcript variant X2". Lineage: Eukaryota; Metazoa; Arthropoda; Branchiopoda; Diplostraca; Daphniidae. The record is from RNAcentral.